GAUGAAGAACGCAGCGAAAUGCGAUAAGUAAUGUGAAUUGCAGAAUUCAGUGAAUCAUCGAAUCUUUGAACGCACAUUGCGCCCGCCAGUAUUCUGGCGGGCAUGCCUGUUCGAGCGUCAUUACAACCCUCAGGCCCCCGGGCCUGGCGUUGGGGAUCGGCGGAGCCCCCCGUGGGCACACGCCGUCCCCCAAAUGCAGUGGCGGUCCCGCCGCAGCUUCCAUCGCGUAGUAGCUAACACCUCGCGACUGGAGAGCGGCGCGGCCACGCCGUAAAACACCCAACUCUUCUGAAGUUGACCUCGAAUCAGGUAGGAAUACCCGCGGAACUUAAGCAUAUCAAUAAGCGGAGGA
Molecule: unclassified non-coding RNA, 352 nt
Filed under: soil metagenome
Description: partial contains 5.8S ribosomal RNA, internal transcribed spacer 2, and large subunit ribosomal RNA
Rfam family: 5.8S ribosomal RNA (bases 1-120)
Source: RNAcentral